GACGAACGCUGGCGGCGUGCUUAACACAUGCAAGUUGAACGGGUCAUAUGUGAAGGGUAACCGGAGUGUAUGGCUAGUGGCGAACGGGUGAGUAAUGCAUGAGAACGUAUCCUCAAGAGGGGGACAACAUUGGGAAACCGAUGCUAAUACCCCAUAAGCCGGGAGGUAAAAGGAGGAAUCCGCUUGAGGAGCGGCUCAUGUCCUAUCAGCUAGUUGGCGAGGUAACGGCUCACCAAGGCGAAGACGGGUAGCCGGCCUGAGAGGGUGAACGGCCACACUGGAACUGAGAGACGGUCCAAACGCCUACGGGAGGCAGCAGUGGGGAAUAUUGGGCAAUGGGGGAAACCCUGACCCAGCGACGCCGCGUGAGGGAAGAAGGCCUUAGGGUCGUAAACCUCUGUUGUGUGGGAAGAAGAGCGUGACGGUACCACACGAGGAAGUCCCGGCUAACUACGUGCCAGCCGCCGCGGUAA
This 473-nucleotide ribosomal RNA is filed under the name uncultured bacterium. Its description in RNAcentral is "partial 16S ribosomal RNA". It matches the Rfam family "Bacterial small subunit ribosomal RNA", at positions 28 to 523 of the family's 1533-position model. The record is from RNAcentral.